AUUGUCAUGCCUGCUGCUCCUGCCUCAGCACUUUCUCCCAUGCCAUAUGGCAUGCCUUCUGGAUCUUCUCUCACAAAAAAUGACAUGAGGAACACUGGAAUUGAUCGAAGAAAAAGGAAGAAAGAAGUUUAACCUGAACUUUCAGCUUCUUUGACUGCAGUGGAGCAAAUAUAUCUGUUGCGGUAGUUAUACAUAUUAAUUUGUUUUAUAAGGCUCAUAAUGUGUGAAUGAUUUAGCCAUUCAAAAUAAUCAGCUCUGAAGUUUUAGAUGGGUCAAGGACCAAUCUACAAUAUCUACCCUUUUUUUUUUUUUAAAAAAAAAAAA
RNAcentral lists this unclassified non-coding RNA (324 nucleotides) under Hevea brasiliensis (rubber tree). Lineage: Eukaryota; Viridiplantae; Streptophyta; Magnoliopsida; Malpighiales; Euphorbiaceae. The record is from RNAcentral.